Molecule: ribosomal RNA, 490 nt
Filed under: uncultured bacterium
Lineage: Bacteria
Description: partial 16S ribosomal RNA
Rfam family: Bacterial small subunit ribosomal RNA
Source: RNAcentral
AUUGAACGCUGGCGGCAGGCUUAACACAUGCAAGUCGAGCGGUAGCACAAGAGAGCUUGCUCUCUGGGUGACGAGCGGCGGACGGGUGAGUAAUGUCUGGGAAACUGCCUGAUGGAGGGGGAUAACUACUGGAAACGGUAGCUAAUACCGCAUAACGUCGCAAGACCAAAGAGGGGGACCUUCGGGCCUCUUGCCAUCAGAUGUGCCCAGAUGGGAUUAGCUAGUAGGUGGGGUAAUGGCUCACCUAGGCGACGAUCCCUAGCUGGUCUGAGAGGAUGACCAGCCACACUAGAACUGAGACACGGUCCAGACUCCUACGGGAGGCAGCAGUGGGGAAUAUUGCACAAUGGGCGCAAGCCUGAUGCAGCCAUGCCGCGUGUGUGAAGAAGGCCUUCGGGUUGUAAAGCACUUUCAGCGAGGAGGAAGGUGGUGAACUUAAUACGUUCAUCAAUUGACGUUACUCGCAGAAGAAGCACCGGCUAACUCCGUG